GAGGUGGUGGCCGAGGGGCAGGGCGAGGUCCGGAUCCUCGGGCGAGAGGGCGUGUUCGUUCUGCGGAACGUAGCCGCUCGACAUCA
RNAcentral lists this transfer RNA (86 nucleotides) under Streptomyces avermitilis. RNAcentral describes it as "tRNA-Pro". Lineage: Bacteria; Bacillati; Actinomycetota; Actinomycetes; Kitasatosporales; Streptomycetaceae. The record is from RNAcentral.